CGUCAAGAGUUUUUGGCACCGAUCUGGUGAGCAAAUUUCUUUUGCCUGCUGAAAGGUAAGAGACGAUG
Molecule: regulatory RNA element, 68 nt
Organism: Rhizobium sp. YS-1r
Lineage: Bacteria; Pseudomonadati; Pseudomonadota; Alphaproteobacteria; Hyphomicrobiales; Rhizobiaceae
Rfam family: S-element
About the family: This family represents a group of S-elements from p42d and related plasmids.
Source: Rfam